This is a long non-coding RNA of Sardina pilchardus (European sardine), 444 nucleotides long. RefSeq lists it as uncharacterized. The transcript is spliced from 3 exons. The record is from RefSeq and is a predicted model, not a curated record. NCBI's taxonomy places the organism in Eukaryota, Metazoa, Chordata, Actinopteri, Clupeiformes, Clupeidae.
ACGCAAGGCUUUUUAACACCCAUUUAUGAUCAAGCUGGUCAGUGGAGACCCACCCAUGGGACACAUUUCCUCACACCAACUAUAAUCAUUUACUCAAACCACCCCCACUCUGUCUCCCUCCCUCUCACACACAUGCAAAAGAAUAACAGUGUCUCUGCUGCAAUAGAGUCAUGUUUAUUCAUUUGAACAUUGUAUUUAUGAAAGUAGGGUUUAAGAAAGUAAUGCACCUGGACUCGGCCCUGCUAGAAUGUGUGGUCAGAGAUGGGUACUGGCACUUAUGGAGGACCUCUUGCGUGGGCAAACAUCACCUCACCAUCCACUAUAGCUGCUUGUGCCCCGAAUACACUAUUUAAAAAAAAAAUGGUCUGUGUGGACAGCCCAGUCUCCAAACACAGCAACAAAACCAACCUGGUUCAAUCUGGGCCAUAAAAGCAUAACAAACUA